Quercus lobata is the source of this 262-nucleotide long non-coding RNA. RefSeq lists it as uncharacterized. Lineage: Eukaryota; Viridiplantae; Streptophyta; Magnoliopsida; Fagales; Fagaceae. The transcript is spliced from 3 exons. The record is from RefSeq and is a predicted model, not a curated record.
GUAUCUUUGCUUGUCUCUACACCAUCGUUCUCCAUACUUGCCAGAAUCCAAUCAUCUUGCUAAGCCACUGGUGAAUGGCAAAGAAAAGUAAGAAGCGAGCUAUAAAACAAGCGAGAGAUAAAGGUGAUAGUGGUAGUCAAUCACAAGUUGCACCUUCAUCAUCUGAGUCUCCAACUAAUGAAGCACUUGUUUCUUUUAAUAGUGUGAUUAAUGGGGGCAGCGAAGGAUCUACUGUACAAAAGAAAAGAGGUCGGGGAAAGGC